RNAcentral lists this ribosomal RNA (1665 nucleotides) under Escherichia coli. RNAcentral's name for it is "partial 23S ribosomal RNA". It matches the Rfam family "Bacterial large subunit ribosomal RNA", at positions 1291 to 2925 of the family's 2925-position model. The record is from RNAcentral. Lineage: Bacteria; Pseudomonadati; Pseudomonadota; Gammaproteobacteria; Enterobacterales; Enterobacteriaceae.
CGAAUGCUGACAUAAGUAACGAUAAAGCGGGUGAAAAGCCCGCUCGCCGGAAGACCAAGGGUUCCUGUCCAACGUUAAUCGGGGCAGGGUGAGUCGACCCCUAAGGCGAGGCCGAAAGGCGUAGUCGAUGGGAAACAGGUUAAUAUUCCUGUACUUGGUGUUACUGCGAAGGGGGGACGGAGAAGGCUAUGUUGGCCGGGCGACGGUUGUCCCGGUUUAAGCGUGUAGGCUGGUUUUCCAGGCAAAUCCGGAAAAUCAAGGCUGAGGCGUGAUGACGAGGCACUACGGUGCUGAAGCAACAAAUGCCCUGCUUCCAGGAAAAGCCUCUAAGCAUCAGGUAACAUCAAAUCGUACCCCAAACCGACACAGGUGGUCAGGUAGAGAAUACCAAGGCGCUUGAGAGAACUCGGGUGAAGGAACUAGGCAAAAUGGUGCCGUAACUUCGGGAGAAGGCACGCUGAUAUGUAGGUGAAGUCCCUCGCGGAUGGAGCUGAAAUCAGUCGAAGAUACCAGCUGGCUGCAACUGUUUAUUAAAAACACAGCACUGUGCAAACACGAAAGUGGACGUAUACGGUGUGACGCCUGCCCGGUGCCGGAAGGUUAAUUGAUGGGGUCAGCGCAAGCGAAGCUCUUGAUCGAAGCCCCGGUAAACGGCGGCCGUAACUAUAACGGUCCUAAGGUAGCGAAAUUCCUUGUCGGGUAAGUUCCGACCUGCACGAAUGGCGUAAUGAUGGCCAGGCUGUCUCCACCCGAGACUCAGUGAAAUUGAACUCGCUGUGAAGAUGCAGUGUACCCGCGGCAAGACGGAAAGACCCCGUGAACCUUUACUAUAGCUUGACACUGAACAUUGAGCCUUGAUGUGUAGGAUAGGUGGGAGGCUUUGAAGUGUGGACGCCAGUCUGCAUGGAGCCGACCUUGAAAUACCACCCUUUAAUGUUUGAUGUUCUAACGUGGACCCGUGAUCCGGGUUGCGGACAGUGUCUGGUGGGUAGUUUGACUGGGGCGGUCUCCUCCUAAAGAGUAACGGAGGAGCACGAAGGUUGGCUAAUCCUGGUCGGACAUCAGGAGGUUAGUGCAAUGGCAUAAGCCAGCUUGACUGCGAGCGUGACGGCGCGAGCAGGUGCGAAAGCAGGUCAUAGUGAUCCGGUGGUUCUGAAUGGAAGGGCCAUCGCUCAACGGAUAAAAGGUACUCCGGGGAUAACAGGCUGAUACCGCCCAAGAGUUCAUAUCGACGGCGGUGUUUGGCACCUCGAUGUCGGCUCAUCACAUCCUGGGGCUGAAGUAGGUCCCAAGGGUAUGGCUGUUCGCCAUUUAAAGUGGUACGCGAGCUGGGUUUAGAACGUCGUGAGACAGUUCGGUCCCUAUCUGCCGUGGGCGCUGGAGAACUGAGGGGGGCUGCUCCUAGUACGAGAGGACCGGAGUGGACGCAUCACUGGUGUUCGGGUUGUCAUGCCAAUGGCACUGCCCGGUAGCUAAAUGCGGAAGAGAUAAGUGCUGAAAGCAUCUAAGCACGAAACUUGCCCCGAGAUGAGUUCUCCCUGACCCUUUAAGGGUCCUGAAGGAACGUUGAAGACGACGACGUUGAUAGGCCGGGUGUGUAAGCGCAGCGAUGCGUUGAGCUAACCGGUACUAAUGAACCGUGAGGCUUAACCUUACAACGCCGAA